AGCUCCCAGAACUGAAAGCACACGUACACAGCACUUGGAGCCAGCACUUGGCAUUGUGCUUGCCCGCACAGACAGGGAGCACACAUCACAGGGUGCGUGGGGUGGCAGGCACAGAACGAUGUGCCUUCUGCGAUGGCUCCUGAGCCCCAAGGUACAGAACUGAAACAGGGCUCUCAGCUAGCUUUGAAAAUCAGUAUGCGCAAAGCACCUUGUUACCAUCAGUCAUGCCUAAAAUUAAUAGUGCAGCACUGAGCUGUUCUCCCCAAACACUUUUCUGAGGAGCCUAGUGCUUCUAGGUAGGGUACGGUUCUCAUUAGGUCUCUUCACAAGCAAAACUUCCUCGAAAGCCCCCCUGCUUCAAGGCCGGGGCCCACAUCUUUUGAUCCAGUUCCUUGCCUUUUUGUCCCACUAACUUCAGUGCACUUGUGUUUGUUUUACCGUAUGCUGUGGUACCUGUUCCCAUGGCAGCACUGCAUGUGCUGAGGGCAGCAGCCUGCCAAACUUCCCUGUGGCCUUUCCAGCCGCUGCAAUUCAACCUGCCUGCUCCGUCUGCACGGAGGAAAACCUUGUGCCUUGCAUUGCUCUGCUGUUCAGAACAAACCCAGAUGCCUCUGUGUGCGGGUGCCAGUGCCCUCUCCUGGACACAGCCCGCAGGCCGGCAGCUUGCUUCCCAGUUCCUCUCUGCAGAAUGACAUAAUGCAAUAUGCGGUAUAUAUGUUUUUAGAAACUAGAGAGGUAAAUUCUGUCCUCUGUUCUGAAUAUAAGCCUGGUCCUGCGUGCCCACCACUAGAGUUUGAAAUCGUCAGCUUCGACCAACCGUAAUUUGACCAGAGAGCCCAAAGCAGUUCCCAGAGGAAGCCGGUACUGGCAGAGCAGGGUCCUUCCCAGAGAAGGUUUCUACAUCUGAGGAAGCACAGUGUUUGAUAGCACCAGUAACUAAGCAAAAAGACCAGGACACUUCAAAUCAAUGGUGGAGAAUAUUGGGCUACCAAAAGCAGAGUUUCCUUCAGGCCAGACUUCAAAAGUGUAGAUCAGAUUUUUUCAUCUUUUCCUCCAUUUUUUUCAAUCUUUGCAUCUUUUUUCUUUUCUUUUAAUCCAACUGAUAAAGUAUGAAACUUUAAAAAAAAAAAAAGAAAAAAAAGAAAGAGAA
This is a long non-coding RNA of Pezoporus occidentalis (night parrot), 1150 nucleotides long. RefSeq lists it as uncharacterized. The transcript is spliced from 4 exons. Lineage: Eukaryota; Metazoa; Chordata; Aves; Psittaciformes; Psittacidae. The record is from RefSeq and is a predicted model, not a curated record.